Molecule: non-coding RNA, 197 nt
Organism: Diplonema papillatum
Lineage: Eukaryota; Euglenozoa; Diplonemea; Diplonemida; Diplonemidae
Source: the annotation of a GenBank genome assembly
AUACCUUCUCGGCCUUUUUGCUAAGAUCAAGUGUAGUAUCUGUUCUUAUCAGCUUAAUAUCUGAUACAGCACACUUGUGUGCUGAGAUAUUAUGUGAAUUUUGCACGGGGGUGGCGGGUAGCUCUGAGGCAACUCAGAGUCCGCCACACGCACGAGAUGCUGCGCACUGAAGAAACGUCCCCGGUUCUGCAUAAAGU